RNAcentral lists this microRNA (22 nucleotides) under Homo sapiens (human). Its description in RNAcentral is "hsa-miR-4773". Lineage: Eukaryota; Metazoa; Chordata; Mammalia; Primates; Hominidae. The record is from miRBase by way of RNAcentral.
CAGAACAGGAGCAUAGAAAGGC